CCUACGGGAGGCAGCAGUAAGGAAUAUUGGACAAUGGUCGCAAGACUGAUCCAGCCAUGCCGCGUGCAGGAUGACAGCCCUAUGGGUCGUAAACUGCUUUUGUGCGAGAAAAAACCCCUCUACGUGUAGAGGGCUGAUUGUAUCGUAAGAAUAAGGAUCGGCUAACUCCGUGCCAGCAGCCGCGGUAAUACGGAGGAUCCAAGCGUUAUCCGGAUUCAUUGGGUUUAAAGGGUGCGUAGGCGGAAUGAUAAGUCAGUGGUGAAAGCCUGCAGCUUAACUGCAGAACUGCCAUUGAUACUGUCAAUCUUGAGUACAUUUGAUGUGGGCGGAAUGUGUCAUGUAGCGGUGAAAUGCUUAGAUAUGACACAGAACACCGAUUGCGAAGGCAGCUCACAAAACUGUAACUGACGCUGAGGCACGAAAGCGUGGGUAUCAAACAGGAUUAGAUACCCUGGUAGUCCACGCUGUAAACUAUGAUUACUCGAUGUUUGCGAUACACUGUAAGCGUCUAAGCGAAAGCGAUAAGUAAUCCACCUGGGGAGUACGCUCGCAGAGUUGAAACUUAAAUUGAAUUGACCGGGNGNGAGAGUGACGACGGACGACGACGGAGGGAAGGAAGG
RNAcentral lists this ribosomal RNA (620 nucleotides) under uncultured bacterium. RNAcentral's name for it is "bacterial SSU rRNA". It matches the Rfam family "Bacterial small subunit ribosomal RNA", at positions 338 to 961 of the family's 1533-position model. The record is from RNAcentral.